AACGCACGAGACCUGCGGACCUGCGGAGGGAUCAUUAACACUUCUUUUAUUAAAACUUUUUCCUCUUUUUCUCCUUAAAAAAGAGUUUAAGAGGAAAAAACACCCUUAGUGUGAACUUGUUGAAGUAUUUAACAAUGUGUUAUUACAUAAUAACACACUUGUUAAUUUAUUUUAAACACCUUUCAAUAAAACCUUUUUUAAACCUUUAAAGUCUAAAAAAGCGAUAAAGAAGGAGUAAGC
This 240-nucleotide unclassified non-coding RNA is filed under the name soil metagenome. RNAcentral describes it as "partial contains 5.8S ribosomal RNA, internal transcribed spacer 2, and large subunit ribosomal RNA". The record is from RNAcentral.